UACAGAGGGUGCAAGCGUUAUUCGGAAUCACUGGGCGUAAAGAGCUCGUAGGCUGUCAAUUAAGUCAUAUGUGAAAUCCCUGGGCUCAAUCCAGGAAGUGCAUCUGAUACUGAUUGACUGGAGUGCAGGAGAGGAAAGCGGAAUUCCAGGUGUAGAGGUGAAAUUCGUAGAUAUCUGGAGGAACAACAGAAGCGAAGGCGGCUUUCUGGACUGUCACUGACGCUGAGGAGCGAAAGCGUGGGGAGCAAACAGG
Molecule: ribosomal RNA, 253 nt
Filed under: uncultured bacterium
Lineage: Bacteria
Description: partial 16S ribosomal RNA
Rfam family: Bacterial small subunit ribosomal RNA
Source: RNAcentral